RNAcentral lists this unclassified non-coding RNA (333 nucleotides) under uncultured Ceratobasidiaceae. RNAcentral's name for it is "sequence contains ITS2". Lineage: Eukaryota; Fungi; Basidiomycota; Agaricomycetes; Cantharellales; Ceratobasidiaceae. The record is from RNAcentral.
AACGCACCUUGCGCUCCUUGGUAUUCCUUGGAGCAUGCCUGUUUGAGUAUCAUGAAAUCUUCAAAGUCAAACCUUUUGUUAAUUCAAUUGGUUCUGCUUUGGUAUUGGAGGAUUAUUGCAGCUUCACACCUGCUCCUCUUUGUGCAUUAGCUGGAUCUCAGUGUUAUGCUUGGUUCCACUCAGCGUGAUAAGUUAUCUAUCGCUGAGGACACCCUGUUAAAAAGGGGUGGCCAAGGUAAAUGCAGAUGAACCGCUUCUAAUAGUCCAUUGACUUGGACAAUAUCUAAUUUAUGAUCUGAUCUCAAAUCAGGUAGGACUACCCGCUGAACUUAA